GACGUCGAUAUUCGACGUCAUAAACACGACCAACUUAGGCGGUUAUGACGUCGAUAUUCGACGUAAUCAACACGAUCAACUUUGGUGUUCAUGACGUCGAUAUUCGACGUCAUAAACACGAUCAACUUAGAUGUUUAUGACGUCGAUUUUUGACCUCAUAAGCACGAUCAACUUAGGUGUUUAUGACGUCGAUAUUGGACGUCAUAAACACGAUCAACUUUGGUGUAUAUGACGUCGAUAUUCGACGUC
Molecule: non-coding RNA, 249 nt
Organism: Paramuricea clavata
Lineage: Eukaryota; Metazoa; Cnidaria; Anthozoa; Malacalcyonacea; Plexauridae
Source: the annotation of a GenBank genome assembly